Triticum urartu is the source of this 1906-nucleotide non-coding RNA. NCBI's taxonomy places the organism in Eukaryota, Viridiplantae, Streptophyta, Magnoliopsida, Poales, Poaceae. The record is from RefSeq and is a predicted model, not a curated record.
ACAUAUUUCUGCAUUUCCUAAAUUAGUACUCCCUCCGUAAACUAAUAUAAGAGCGUUUAGAACACUAUUUUAGUGAUCUAAACGUUUUUAUAUUAGUUUACAAAGUGAGUAUUAUUUUAAAUAUAGUGAUAACAAAAAUAAAUGUUGGUACUUUGAAUGUCGAAGGUUUUGUAGUACAUUUCUUGGAACGUUACAAAAUUUCUGUGGUUUCCAGUUUUUCCCCUCGCUCACUCACUCACCCACUCACUCAGUCGCCUCUUCACGCUCGUUCCCCUCGCUCACCCAGUCCACCAAAUCCCUAGCCCGCGGCGGCGACGCACCUCCCCCUCACUCGCGUCGGCGAAUCAACCGCGUCGCCGCCCUUCUCCUCAGGCGUCGCCGCCGGGCCUUCUCGUCUGCGUCGCCUCUCCCUCUUGCCCGCAUCCUCUGCGUCACAGUCGAGCCAAAGUUGGAUAUUUUAGCGAGGUCGAGUAGGAGCGUGAGAAGCGCGGGCACGGCGGCCUUGUCCUGCUCGAGGAAGGCGGCGACGGAUGCUAGCGCUCCUCGCCGCCAUCGACCUGCAAGGAGGAGUGCCGUGUUGGACGCUGCCAUCUCCGACGCUGCUGGUACUCCUCCGCCGCUACGAGUGCCCCGUCACCUGCGCCCAGGUCAAGCGCGAAGUCGAGCUCCCCAUGCUUGACCUGCAAGAUGUACUGUGGUCAAGAACUGCUCUCUGCCGCGGGAGUAGAUUGGAAAGGCUGCUGCUGCUCCUGUACAAUGCGGUUGCUGCUGCUCCUGUACAAUGCGGCUGCUACUGCCACUACCACUCAUCGAUUCGGGCAUGAGCACAUUCUUGGAGUGGAUCUGCAUUUCAAAAAGUUAACAAGUGGGAGUACAUGGAGUACUACAUUUUAAGUCGAGGAGAAGAUGGUAACUGCUCCGUGAUGAUGCCACCAGCACCUACGACUUCCUCGACCACCACCACCAUGAUGACGACUUCCUCGAACGUGCGAGGCAGGUGAGGAGGAGGGUUACCAGAGGCUGGAGGAAAAUGAGAGCAGGGACUGCCCGCCGAGCAUCCCCAGCCGGUAGCAAGGGACAAGGGAGCAGUAGGCACUACGUACCUCCAUUAUUAUAGUUAAAUGUCAUGUCUGGACUGACCUUUCCUUCUUCCUGGGCAGCCAACACUUUGUAGUUGGAAAUACUAUCAGUUUACACUCCUGAUGAAGUGAUGAUUCUUCAAAUGAGAGAUGUUCCAAAAUUUAGUGAUUACCUGAUGUUUCAGAUGAUGAUCAGGAUGAUUGACAAGGAAGAAAUGUUCCACAGGCUUGCUAUCUGAUUCAUCGGGUCUGGUGUUACUCAUAUUAUGGGCAGUCAUACUAAUGCAAGGCCGAACCAUCAGAUUGCUCCACCCCAACACAUAGUUGAAAUAAAUGUCAAUGUUGCUCUACUGCAGUAUGCAUCAUUACCAGUUGUGGCCGCGGUGUGCAGAGACCGAUCGGGUAUUUAUAUUAGAUCUUGAGCUAUUUCUCUUGUGGGAAAUUUAGAUCCCACAACACUUGAAGCCUUUGCAUUCCGAGAAGCGCUGGCCCUUGCAGAUGACUUCUAGGAGCGAAGAAUUUUUGUUGCUUCAGAUUGCAAGAUUGUCAUUUGAUAAUAUCAAGCAGAAGAGUGCGGUUGUAUAUGGCGCAAUUAUCUGAGAAAUGUUAGAUCAUUCUAGAUUUUUUAUUAGUUGCCCUUCUAGUCAUGAAUUAGGAGGCUGGAUACCAAGACUCACAAUUUAGUGAAGCAUGCUCUCUCACUGGGGUUGGCCCUCAUGUUUGGUUAGGUAUCCCCGGUGAUCUUACUUUCGCCUUUGUAAAUAUUGUGACGAGUUACAUAAGCUUCAUGAGAUUGUCUACAAAAAUAUAUUUUAGAUUAUUGAAAA